RNAcentral lists this ribosomal RNA (253 nucleotides) under uncultured bacterium. RNAcentral describes it as "partial 16S ribosomal RNA". It matches the Rfam family "Bacterial small subunit ribosomal RNA", at positions 524 to 776 of the family's 1533-position model. The record is from RNAcentral.
UACGUAGGGGGCAAGCGUUGUCCGGAAUCAUUGGGCGUAAAGCGCGUGUAGGCGGCCCGGUAAGUCCGCUGUGAAAGUCGGGGGCUCAACCCUCGAAUGCCGGUGGAUACUGUCGGGCUAGAGUGCGGAAGAGGCGAGUGGAAUUCCUGGUGUAGCGGUGGAAUGCGCAGAUAUCAGGAGGAACACCAAUAGCGAAGGCAGCUCGCUGGGACGUUACUGACACUGAGGCGCGAAAGCGUGGGGAGCGAACAGG